UAAAAGCCUACCAAGGCAUCGAUCAGUAGCUGGUCUGAGAGGACGACCAGCCACACUGGAACUGAGACACGGUCCAGACUCCUACGGGAGGCAGCAGUGGGGAAUUUUGGACAAUGGGCGAAAGCCUGAUCCAGCAAUGCCGCGUGAGUGAAGAAGGCCUUCGGGUUGUAAAGCUCUUUUGUCAGGGAAGAAACGGUGAAAGCUAAUAUCUUUUGCUAAUGACGGUACCUGAAGAAUAAGCACCGGCUAACUACGUGCCAGCAGCCGCGGUAAUACGUAGGGUGCAAGCGUUAAUCGGAAUUACUGGGCGUAAAGCGUGCGCAGGCGGUUUUGUAAGUCUGAUGUGAAAUCCCCGGGCUCAACCUGGGAAUUGCAUUGGAGACUGCAAGGCUAGAAUCUGGCAGAGGGGGGUAGAAUUCCACGUGUAGCAGUGAAAUGCGUAGAUAUGUGGAGGAACACCGAUGGCGAAGGCAGCCCCCUGGGUCAAGAUUGACGCUCAUGCACGAAAGCGUGGGGAGCAAACAGGAUUAGAUACCCUGGUAGUCCACGCCCUAAACGAUGUCUACUAGUUGUCGGGUCUUAAUUGACUUGGUAACGCAGCUAACGCGUGAAGUAGA
This 617-nucleotide ribosomal RNA is filed under the name uncultured bacterium. RNAcentral's name for it is "bacterial SSU rRNA". It matches the Rfam family "Bacterial small subunit ribosomal RNA", at positions 258 to 868 of the family's 1533-position model. The record is from RNAcentral.